GACGUAGGGGGCCAGCGUUGCUCGGAAUUACUGGGCGUAAAGGGUUCGUAGGCGGUGCGGCAAGUCGGGAGUGAAAUCUCUGGGCUUAACUCGGAGGCUGCUUCCGAAACUGCCGUGCUCGAGUGCGGGAGAGGCGAGUGGAAUUGCAGGUGUAGCGGUGAAAUGCGUAGAUAUCUGCAGGAACACCCGUGGCGAAGGCGGCUCGCUGGACCGCAACUGACGCUGAGGAACGAAAGCUAGGGGAGCAAACAGG
This 253-nucleotide ribosomal RNA is filed under the name uncultured bacterium. RNAcentral's name for it is "partial 16S ribosomal RNA". It matches the Rfam family "Bacterial small subunit ribosomal RNA", at positions 524 to 776 of the family's 1533-position model. The record is from RNAcentral.